This 273-nucleotide long non-coding RNA is filed under the name Manihot esculenta (cassava). RNAcentral's name for it is "long non-coding RNA (MESC_LNC004783)". The record is from RNAcentral. Lineage: Eukaryota; Viridiplantae; Streptophyta; Magnoliopsida; Malpighiales; Euphorbiaceae.
GUAAUUGCCUCUAUACUGCUACGUUCCUGUCGAACCAGAAUUUAUGUAAUUGAAAUUCUAGUUGUACUGCUGUAGUGGCUGCCAAUCAACACGCUCUUCUGCCCUUUUUGCCAUCUCAAUAGCAGUUGCCAAGGUCAAAAUUGCAACUACUCUCAUCAUACAAUGAAUUUCGUGAUUCAGGCCCCUCUGAUAAUGAGCAACCUGCUGGGCUUCGUUCUUAUAGUUUUCACACCUCGCCUGCAACCUCAAAAAUUCCUCGAUAUAUUCAUCCAC